GGAAUUAGCUUCAAGCUAGAAAAGGAACUACCUCAGAUUAUUGAAGAUAAUAUUGAGGAUUUCUGUGACAAGUUAAUAAAUAUAUCUGGAAUCAAAGAUAGAGAAUACAACAAAUUGUUUUGGGCAGUUCAUCCAGGUGGUCCUGCUAUUUUAAACAGGCUAGAGAAAAAGUUAGAUUUGUCUCCUGAUAAAUUAAGUGCU
RNAcentral lists this unclassified non-coding RNA (201 nucleotides) under Hevea brasiliensis (rubber tree). The record is from RNAcentral. Lineage: Eukaryota; Viridiplantae; Streptophyta; Magnoliopsida; Malpighiales; Euphorbiaceae.